UUUGAUGGCGACCGGCGCACGGGUGAGUAACACGUAUCCAACCUGCCGAUGACUCGGGGAUAGCCUUUCGAAAGAAAGAUUAAUACCCGAUGGCAUAGUUCUUCCGCAUGGUGGAACUAUUAAAGAAUUUCGGUCAUCGAUGGGAUGCGUUCCAUUAGGUUGUUGGCGGGGUAACGGCCCACCAAGCCUUCGAUGGAUAGGGGUUCUGAGAGGAAGGUCCCCCACAUUGGAACUGAGACACGGUCCAAACUCCUACGGGAGGCCAGCAUG
This 270-nucleotide ribosomal RNA is filed under the name uncultured bacterium. RNAcentral describes it as "partial 16S ribosomal RNA". It matches the Rfam family "Bacterial small subunit ribosomal RNA", at positions 84 to 349 of the family's 1533-position model. The record is from RNAcentral.